This 70-nucleotide transfer RNA is filed under the name Xylobanus sp. UPOL A00098. Its description in RNAcentral is "tRNA-Glu". The record is from RNAcentral. Lineage: Eukaryota; Metazoa; Arthropoda; Insecta; Coleoptera; Lycidae.
AUUUCUAAUUUAUAUAGUUUAAAAAAAACAUUACAUUUUCAUUGUAAAAUUAAAUAUUUUUAUUUUAUAA